UCUAUUAUGGCAGAAUAAUUGCAAUGGAUUUAAACCCCAUAAAUAAAGUACUUACUUUUUUUAGAA
This 66-nucleotide transfer RNA is filed under the name Gunungiella acanthoclada. RNAcentral describes it as "tRNA-Leu". The record is from RNAcentral. Lineage: Eukaryota; Metazoa; Arthropoda; Insecta; Trichoptera; Philopotamidae.